This 229-nucleotide ribosomal RNA is filed under the name uncultured bacterium. RNAcentral's name for it is "partial 16S ribosomal RNA". It matches the Rfam family "Bacterial small subunit ribosomal RNA", at positions 568 to 796 of the family's 1533-position model. The record is from RNAcentral.
UCCGUAGGUGGAUAAUUAAGUCAGAGGUGAAAUCCUGCAGCUCAACUGUAGAAUUGCCUUUGAUACUGGUUAUCUUGAGUUAUUAUGAAGUAGUUAGAAUAUGUAGUGUAGCGGUGAAAUGCAUAGAUAUUACAUAGAAUACCAAUUGCGAAGGCAGAUUACUAAUAAUCAACUGACACUGAUGGACGAAAGCGUGGGGAGCGAACAGGAUUAGAUACUCUGGUAGUCC